This 253-nucleotide ribosomal RNA is filed under the name uncultured bacterium. Its description in RNAcentral is "partial 16S ribosomal RNA". It matches the Rfam family "Bacterial small subunit ribosomal RNA", at positions 524 to 776 of the family's 1533-position model. The record is from RNAcentral.
UACGUAGGGGGCUAGCGUUGUCCGGAAUCAUUGGGCGUAAAGCGCGUGUAGGCGGUCCGGUAAGUCCGCUGUGAAAGUCGGGGGCUCAACCCUCGGAUGCCGGUGGAUACUGUCGGGCUUGAGUACGGAAGAGGCGAGUGGAAUUCCUGGUGUAGCGGUGAAAUGCGCAGAUAUCAGGAAGAACACCCGUGGCUAAGGCGGUUCUCUAGUACGGUACUGACGCUGAGACGCGAAAGCGUGGGGAGCGAACAGG